CCUGGACAAGGUUUACUUGUUCCAUGGGGUUUCCAAUGACUUGCUUUUCCAGCUGGUUUCAGAGAUGAAAGCUGAGUAUUUUCCUCCCAAUGAAGAUGUGAUUUUGCAGAAUGAAGCUCCAACAGACUUCUAUAUACUUGUCACUGGUGCUGCGGAUCUACUUGUGUACAAAAGUGGAGUUGAACAGGUUGUUGGGCAAAUAAAAAGUGGUGAUCUUUGCGGUGAGAUUGGGGUGCUUUGUUAUAGGCCACAGCUUUUUACUGUGCGCACCAAAAGAUUGAGCCAGCUACUACGACUGAACCGUACUACAUUCUUGAACAUUGUUCAGGCCAAUGUUGGAGAUGGGACCAUAAUCAUGAAUAAUCUCCUUCAGCAUUUGAAAGAACAAAAGAACCCAAUUAUGGAGGGAGUUUUGCUUGAGACAGAGAACAUGCUAGCUCGAGGUAGAAUGGACCUACCACUCAGUCUAUGUUUUGCUGCACUUAGGGGAGAUGAUUCCUUGUUACAUCAGUUGUUGAAAAGGGGGCUGGAUCCAAAUGAAUCAGAUAGCAAUGGGAGGUCGGCUCUGCAUAUAGCAGCCUCAAAAGGAAGUGAGAACUGUGUGCUUCUUUUACUAGAUUACGGGGCAGAUCCUAAUUGUAAAGACUCAGAUGGAAAUGUUCCUUUAUGGGAGGCAAUGCUGGGUGGUCAUGAAGCAGUGACCAGACUGCUGAUACAAAAUGGUGCAAACAUAAAUGCUGGAGAUGUAGGUCAUUUUGCUUGCACUGCCGCUGAGCAAAAUAGUUUGAAAUUGCUGAAGGAAAUUGUCGAUUAUGGCGGGGAUGUCACAUGCUCCAGGAAGAGUGGAACGACCGCCCUCCAUGCUGCAGUUUGUGAAGGCAACACUGAAAUAGUCAGGUUUCUCUUAGACCAUGGUGCAGAUACUGACAAACCAGAUAUUCAUGGCUGGACUCCGAGGGAUCUAGCUGACCAACAAGGACAUGAAGAAAUAAAAUUCAUUUUCCAAACUUGUAAAGAGCCUAAAACUCAGUCUGUUGUUGCAAUUCCUGGGGAGAAGGAGCCUGGAAUUAGAUAUCUUGGCAGGUUUACAAGUGAGCCAACUAUACGUCCCGUGUCUCAUGAUGGCUCAUUCUCAGGUACAGAUGGAUCAUGGGGCCAUAAUCGUCCCAGACGCAGAACUAAUAAUUUUCACAACUCGCUCUUUGGGAUGAUGUCUGCUGCCCACAAGGGGGAGCAAGAAUUGCCAUUCCCAGUUAGCCAUCCUAUAGCUGCAGAAAACUAUGGAGCUAACCCUGCAAGAGUAAUAAUUAGUUGCCCAGAAAAGGUAGAAAUUGCAGGGAAGCUUGUUCUACUCCCCAAGAGCUUGGAGGAGUUAUCGGAGAUUGGUGCUAAGAAAUUUGGGCUGACAAAUGCCAAAGUUCUGAGCAAGGAAAGAGCUGAAAUUGAUGAUAUUGAGGUAAUUAGAGAUGG
This 1470-nucleotide unclassified non-coding RNA is filed under the name Hevea brasiliensis (rubber tree). Lineage: Eukaryota; Viridiplantae; Streptophyta; Magnoliopsida; Malpighiales; Euphorbiaceae. The record is from RNAcentral.